This 465-nucleotide ribosomal RNA is filed under the name uncultured bacterium. Its description in RNAcentral is "partial 16S ribosomal RNA". It matches the Rfam family "Bacterial small subunit ribosomal RNA", at positions 29 to 507 of the family's 1533-position model. The record is from RNAcentral.
AUGAACGCUGGCGGCGUGCUUAACACAUGCAAGUCGAACGGAAAGGCCCAAGCUUGCUUGGGUACUCGAGUGGCGAACGGGUGAGUAACACGUGGGUGAUCUGCCCUGCACUUCGGGUUAAGCCUGGGAAACUGGGUCUAAUACCGGAUAGGACCACAUUUUGGAUGGUGUGGUGGAAAGUUUUUCGGUGUGGGAUGAGCUCGCGGCCUAUCAGCUUGUUGGUGGGGUAAUGGACUACCAAGGCGUCGACGGGUAGCCGGGCUGAGAGGGUGUACGGCCAAAUUGGGGCUGAAGUACGGCCCAGGCUCCUACGGGAGGCAGCAGUGGGGAAUAUUGCACAAUGGGCGCAAGCCUGGUGCAGCGACGCCGCGUGGGGGAUGACGGCCUUCGGGUUGUAAACUCCUUUCGCUAGGGACGAAGCGUUAUGUGACGGUACCUGGAGAAGAAGCACCGGCUAACUACGUG